AGAGUUUGAUCCUGGCUCAGAACGAACGCUGGCGGCGUGCCUAACACAUGCAAGUCGUACGAGAAAAUCCGCUUCGGCGGGUGAGUAAAGUGGCGCACGGGUGAGUAACGCGUGGAUAAUCUGCCUUUAAGCGGGGAAUAACUUACCGAAAGGUGGGCUAAUACCCCAUAAAGCUAUGGAACUCCGGUUUUCAUAGCCAAAGAGAGCCUCUGCAUGCAAGCCCUCACUUAGAGAUGAGUCCGCGUACCAUUAGCUAGUUGGUGGGGUAAUGGCCUACCAAGGCGACGAUGGUUAGCUGGUCUGAGAGGAUGAUCAGCCACACUGGAACUGAGACACGGUCCAGACUCCUACGGGAGGCAGCAGUGAGGAAUAUUGCGCAAUGGGGGCAACCCUGACGCAGCAACGCCGCGUGAGUGAGGAAGGUUUUCGGAUCGUAAAGCUCUGUCGGGUGGGAAGAAAUGUAUGGAGGUUAACAGCCUUUGUACUUGACGGUACCGCCAAAGGAAGCACCGGCUAACUCCGUGCCAGCAGCCGCGGUAAUACGGGGGGUGCUAGCGUUGUUCGGAAUCAUUGGGCGUAAAGAGCGUGUAGGCGGCUAGGCAAGUCAGAUGUGAAAUCCCUGGGCUUAACCCAGGACGUGCAUUUGAAACUGCUUGGCUUGAGUAGGGAAGAGGGAAGUGGAAUUCCUGGUGUAGAGGUGAAAUUCGUAGAUAUCAGGAGGAACACCGGUGGCGAAGGCGACUUCCUGGUCCUAUACUGACGCUGAGACGCGAGAGCGUGGGGAGCAAACCAGGAUUAGAUACCCUGGUAGUCCACGCCGUAACCGAUGUUCAAGAGGUGUUGAGGGUAUUGACCCCUUCAGUGCCGAAGCUAACGCAUUAAUGAACCGCCUGGAGAC
RNAcentral lists this ribosomal RNA (898 nucleotides) under uncultured bacterium. RNAcentral's name for it is "bacterial SSU rRNA". It matches the Rfam family "Bacterial small subunit ribosomal RNA", at positions 9 to 873 of the family's 1533-position model. The record is from RNAcentral.